UACGUAUGGGGCAAGCGUUAUCCGGAUUUACUGGGUGUAAAGGGAGCGUAGGCGGCAGGGCAAGCCUGAUGUGAAAACCCGGGGCCCAACCCCGGGAGUGCAUUUGAAACUGCCAUGCUAGAGUGCUGGAGAGGUAAGUGGAAUUCCUAGUGUAGCGGUGAAAUGCGUAGAUAUUAGGAGGAACACCAGUGGCGAAGGCGGCUUACUGGACAGUAACUGACGUUGAGGCUCGAAGGCGUGGGGAGCAAACAGG
RNAcentral lists this ribosomal RNA (253 nucleotides) under uncultured Ruminococcus sp. Its description in RNAcentral is "partial 16S ribosomal RNA". It matches the Rfam family "Bacterial small subunit ribosomal RNA", at positions 524 to 776 of the family's 1533-position model. Lineage: Bacteria; Bacillati; Bacillota; Clostridia; Eubacteriales; Oscillospiraceae. The record is from RNAcentral.